UUAGUUGUUGCAGUUAAAAGCUCGUAGUUGGAUUUUGGUUAAGAGGGCGCGGUCGGCCGUUUGGUCUGUACUGCGUUGUCUUGACUUCCUGAUGAGGACAUGCUCUUGGUUAACGCUGAGACAUGGAGUCAUCGUGGUUACUUUGAAAAAAUUAGAGUGUUCAAAGCGGGCUUACGCUUGAAUAUAUUAGCAUGGAAUAACACUAUAGGACUCCUGUCCUAUCUCGUUGGUCUCGGGAUGGGAGUAAUGAUUAAGAGGAACAGUUGGGGGCAUUCGUAUUUCAUUGUCAGAGGUGAAAUUCUUGGAUUUAUGAAAGACGAACUUCUGCGAAAGCAUUUGCCAAGGAUGUUUUCAUUAAUCAAGAACGAAAGUUGGGGGCUCGAAGAUGAUUAGAUACCAUCCUAGUCUCAACCAUAAACGAUGCCGACUAGGGAUUGGUGGAUGUUAAUUGAUGACUUCACCAGCACCUUAUGAGAAAUCAAAGUUUUUGGGUUCCGGGGGGAGUAUGGUCGCAAGGCUG
This 520-nucleotide ribosomal RNA is filed under the name eukaryotic picoplankton environmental sample. RNAcentral's name for it is "SSU rRNA". It matches the Rfam family "Eukaryotic small subunit ribosomal RNA", at positions 606 to 1139 of the family's 1831-position model. The record is from RNAcentral.